UUGUUUGAGGAUAUCAGUGUUGAUGGCACUGACCAUUGGAACCCCGCAUCUGGUCUGCCUCCCCCCUCUAGUUCGGCAUUGAAAACCGCCUUGAAUGUUGAUGAAAUCACCGAUCUUGAUUUGGAGGAUGAUACCGAAGAGCAACCUUCUCCGACAGUAGCUAGUUCAUCUAAAGUGAGGCUUGGGGUCACGAUUCCGGAGAAGAACAAGAAACCAAAGACUGCACAAGUGAUGCAAGAGGAGAUUAUAAAGAUUAGUUCUAUUCCCCAGGCUUCACACACAUCGUUUCAGUCUUUCCUAAAGAAAGAUGAGACCGUUUCUGUUGCCUCUACCAUGGAUUUAGUUCGUGAUUGUGGCGUAAUAGACGGCACUGAUGAGCAUUUCAUUGCAACUGAGCUCUUUCUGAAGAGAGAGCAAAGAGAGAUGUUCUUGCACAUGACAUCCGACUCUCGAAAGGGUUGGCUGCGUAGGAGGUUUGACCUCAAGUAUGGGAACUAG
This 498-nucleotide ribosomal RNA is filed under the name Triticum aestivum (bread wheat). RNAcentral describes it as "partial small subunit ribosomal RNA". Lineage: Eukaryota; Viridiplantae; Streptophyta; Magnoliopsida; Poales; Poaceae. The record is from RNAcentral.